Cavia porcellus (domestic guinea pig) is the source of this 71-nucleotide transfer RNA. It matches the Rfam family "tRNA". From Rfam's summary of the family: Transfer RNA (tRNA) molecules are approximately 80 nucleotides in length. Their secondary structure includes four short double-helical elements and three loops (D, anti-codon, and T loops). The record is from Rfam. Lineage: Eukaryota; Metazoa; Chordata; Mammalia; Rodentia; Caviidae.
GGGGAUUUAGCUCAGCGGCAUAAGCACCUGCCUUGCAAGCAGGUGGUCGUGAGUUCGAUCCCCAGUACCCA